Trichomycterus rosablanca is the source of this 817-nucleotide long non-coding RNA. RefSeq lists it as uncharacterized. The transcript is spliced from 3 exons. The record is from RefSeq and is a predicted model, not a curated record. NCBI's taxonomy places the organism in Eukaryota, Metazoa, Chordata, Actinopteri, Siluriformes, Trichomycteridae.
GAUAAAUACUCAGAAGGGAAGACGACCGCUCCUUUUCUCCUGCAGCUUUCUGCUAAAGGAGCUGAAGUCCCCGAAAGCAGUUCAGUCAGCUGUUACCAGCAUGGCUGUCUGUUCUAGGCUGAACUUCUUUCGUCCUUAGGACGUGAGCAAAAACAACUGCUCUAUCUAAAAAUCCUUCUGUCUCCCAAGGGGGGGUACGCACUCUUGCCGUUUGCUCUUGCCAGCGGCUGCUCGCCAUGCGCCGAUCUGAACCGACUGCAGAAGCACGGGCGCGUUCAUGCCACGAUGUGCCAUGUCGUCCGUCGUGACGACGAAGCCCGCCCAUCCAACCGUCCGGUACGGUGAACCGGAUAGGCUAACUUCGUCGUUCCGACGACGAUGUGGUGGAGCGCAGCGAGAACGCGCCCGAGCUCGCACGGCUCCAUCCAGACGACGAUCUGAACCGACCGCAGAAGCACGGGCGCGUUCAUGCCUCGAUGUACCACGUCGUCCAUCAUAACGACGAAGCCCGCCCGGAUAGGCGAGCUUCGUCGUUCUGACAGACGACGUGGAGGAUCGCGGCGAGAACGCGCCCGAGCUCGCACGGCUCCAUCCAGACGCAACCAGAAGACCCGAUGAGUCCGCUCGGAUCAGGGGGCUUGUAGUGCGGCAUGCCGGGUCAUGUCUGACCUGCCAACAAAAGAAAACCAGAAGCAAAAAAACUCAUUCCUACAAAUACUUUGCUUCUGGCUACUUGGUUGGCGGGAUUCGGGAUGGCCUGCCAUGAACAUAAUCCCUUACAAUGAAUAAAAAUCCAACAAAGUUGGUUUCCAAAGUU